CACUAGAUAACUAAAUUAAAUAAGUAUUGGUCUCUUAAACCACUAAUAGUAAAUAUUACUUCUAAUGA
Molecule: transfer RNA, 68 nt
Filed under: Anabolia bimaculata
Lineage: Eukaryota; Metazoa; Arthropoda; Insecta; Trichoptera; Limnephilidae
Description: tRNA-Lys
Source: RNAcentral